UGGGGAAUAUUGCACAAUGGGCGCAAGCCUGAUGCAGCGACGCCGCGUGAGGGAUGACGGCCUUCGGCUUGUAAACCUCUUUCAGCAGGGAAGAAGCGCAAGUGACGGUACCUGCAGAAGAAGCACCGGCUAACUACGUGCCAGCAGCCGCGGUAAUACGUAGGGUGCGAGCGUUGUCCGGAAUUAUUGGGCGUAAAGAGCUUGUAGGCGGUUUGUCGCGUCUGCCGUGAAAAUCCGGGGCUCAACCCCGGACUUGCGGUGGGUACGGGCAGACUAGAGUGUGGUAGGGGAGACUGGAAUUCCUGGUGUAGCGGUGAAAUGCGCAGAUAUCAGGAGGAACACCGAUGGCGAAGGCAGGUCUCUGGGCCACUACUGACGCUGAGAAGCGAAAGCAUGGGGAGCGAACAGG
This 409-nucleotide ribosomal RNA is filed under the name Bacillota bacterium. RNAcentral describes it as "Firmicutes bacterium partial 16S ribosomal RNA". It matches the Rfam family "Bacterial small subunit ribosomal RNA", at positions 355 to 776 of the family's 1533-position model. Lineage: Bacteria; Bacillati; Bacillota. The record is from RNAcentral.